Molecule: long non-coding RNA, 1238 nt
Organism: Canis lupus familiaris (dog)
Lineage: Eukaryota; Metazoa; Chordata; Mammalia; Carnivora; Canidae
Exons: 4
Source: RefSeq, a predicted model, not a curated record
UAAAUAAAUGUCAAUGACGAGUAUCCGCCCUUAUAGUAAUUAUACAAAGUAGUGUCACUGCCUUAAAAACUUUCUGUGAUGAAGACUUCUUCCAAAUGUUUAACUGGGAAAAAUGUUGGGGUGAACAAAUGUGAAACUCUUGAUUCUAGUUUGAGGCCCUUCUUCACGUGCACAACUGCUACGGGAGCCUCUGGACCUGAACCACGAGCAGUAGGGAUAAGCUCUGACAGAGCUUCCUGAAGAAGAUAUCUUGGCUGCCUUGUUCCCGCCAGUCCCCACAAGCCCUGCUGCACUUGCACUGUGGGAAUCCUUCCAGCACCUGUUUCAGGAGACUCUCCAGGCCAAUCCUAGGCACUGGAGACUGCAUAGGUGCUGAAGGAACAGAGAGGCAGCCUUCCCAUGGGCAGCCCCAGGAUUGUAACUCAGUGCUCUGAGGCUGGAGCAUGGUAGGGAUACAGGUGCAGCCGGUAGAUACAUGCUAGGGUCAGGAGCUUUAAGUAAGAGGUGUUGUUGCACCAGAGUAACUAUCAGAGGAUGGGAAAGAUGCCUUAGUUUUAAUCUAAUAUCCCUUUUCUGGGUCAGAAUCCCAUCCAGGCUGCCUCAUUAUGUUUAGUCAUCAUGUCUCCUUAGGCUCCUUUAGAGGAAUAUGUACCAUUUUCUCAGAUUUUCCUUGUUUUGAUGACCUUGACAGUUUUGAAUUAUACUAGUCAGGUAUUUUGUAGAAUUUCUCUCAACUGGGUUCUGUGUGAUUUUUAUUUUUUAUCAUGAUAAAACAGACAUUGUGAAUUUUAGGGAGGAGGAUCACAAAGGUAGAGUUCUAAACUCCUUAUCCUAUCAGGAAUACAUUCUAUGAGUAUGACUUAUCAAUGUUGCUGGUAGCCUCGAUCCUCUGGUCCAGGCCAUGUUUUGUAAAGUAUAAAGAACUAAGAGAACACAGCAAAUGUUCACAACUCAAGACUCACACCUACCAACUAUGUAAAAUACGCCAAUCUCCAGAUUCUGUCUCAGGAACAUAUUCUGUCCUGCUGAGAAUGGUGCUAAGGAAAGAAAGAAGCCGUGUGCCCUCAGGAACCAGUGGAGACUAAUAUCCCUGACAUUUGUUCCUCAAGACAUGAUUUUUCUCAGGUGAGGAGAGAAGCUAGACGGGCUGACACUUCUCCACGCGGAAACACUUGGAGAAGAAAAUAACGGCUCUACGCUAACAUUUUAUUUCAAUUUAUAAAUAAAAUGCCUUGGAC